RNAcentral lists this transfer RNA (87 nucleotides) under Bdellovibrionales bacterium. Its description in RNAcentral is "tRNA-Leu". It matches the Rfam family "tRNA". Rfam says of the family: Transfer RNA (tRNA) molecules are approximately 80 nucleotides in length. Their secondary structure includes four short double-helical elements and three loops (D, anti-codon, and T loops). The record is from RNAcentral. Lineage: Bacteria; Pseudomonadati; Bdellovibrionota; Bdellovibrionia; Bdellovibrionales.
GCGCCAGUGCUGAAAUUGGUAGACAGGCUAGGUUGAGGGCCUAGUGCUCGCAAGGGCGUGGUGGUUCAAGUCCACUCUGGCGCACCA